This 72-nucleotide transfer RNA is filed under the name Deltaproteobacteria bacterium. Its description in RNAcentral is "tRNA-Thr". It matches the Rfam family "tRNA". From Rfam's summary of the family: Transfer RNA (tRNA) molecules are approximately 80 nucleotides in length. Lineage: Bacteria; Pseudomonadati; Myxococcota; Myxococcia. The record is from RNAcentral.
GCCGGUGUAGCUCAGUGGUAGAGCAGCGGUUUCGUAAACCGCAGGUCAGCGGUUCAAGUCCGCUCACCGGCU